CAUGAGGCUGUGAGGACCAGGUGCUGUGCUAAGGGUUUCAUGUGCCUCUUUCAUUCAACAAUCUUGUGAAAUCACCUACCAGAUUGUUUAAGACACAGAGAAGGUUGGAUUAUUACACAACCCAAAUGAUGGUCAAAUCCCAAGCUAUUCUGCAGGCAAUUGGGCAAGUCCAUUUUUCCUCAGUAAUUUACCCCUUCCCAGUGCUUGACUCACCCCCUGCACCUGUCCCACCCUGCCUCAGUGACAAAGCCAAGUUCUGCAGAUCGUCCCUGAUCUGAUACCUGGAAACAAUGAGAGGUGCCCUGUGCCUUAGGGGAGAGAGUGCACUGGUUUGAGCCUUGGUUCUGCCACUUCCCAUGCCACAGUGGGCACAUGACCAUUCUGUAGCUCAGUUUCCCCAUCUAUGCAAUGGGGGUAUGAGUAUCAACUGUAUGCAUUUAUGAGGAUACUUACAUCAUUAUAUUCAAUGUAACUGAUAAGUACUCAAACCCUUCAUGAUUGUCCUGGCAGAGAUGGUGCAGCCUUGAAGUGACAGAACCAAGCUUGCCCCUGACCUUGGUACAGAAGAGGUCCAGCCAGCUAGCUCCACCCCAUCAUUUCACAUUUGGGAAAACCAAUGGCUGGAGAGUGGAAAUGCUUGUCUAAAGUCCACUGCUUGCCAGCAGCAGGAUCUCCAUAGUGAUUCUAUAAAGUCGCCUGCUUGGUUUCUGUUUGUUUGUUAGAAGCAAAGAUGGUGGCGGCUUAGGAAGCCAGCUUUGGAAGACAACACUCUAUUUCUCUUCUCCACACUCGCAGGGUUCCCUUAUUUCCUUGGUCUCAUCCACAGCAGAGGAGUUACUGGUCUCCCUUGUGGUGUCAGACCCUGGGAUCUGCUAUGUAUAUACCCCCCAGUGUGAAACAUUCUAACCAUCAUCCUGCAAGGGAGAUCUGCUUUUGCUCAUUCUGCAGAAGUGAUGUGGAGGCUGAGGCAGAAAAAAUGAGCCAUGCCAAAGUUACGCAGAUACAGGAGUUCCCGUUGUGGCUCAGAGGGUUAAGAAUUCGGCUAGUAUCCAUGAGGAUGUGGGUUUGAUCCCUGGCCUUGCUUAGUGGGUUAAGGAUCUGGCACUGCCACAAGCUGAGGUGUAGGUGGUGAAUGCAGCUUAGAUCUGGUCUCACUGUGGCUGUGGUGUAGGGCAGCGUUGCAACUCCAAUUCAACCCCUAGCCUGGGAACUUCCAUAUGCCUCAGGUGCGGCCCUAAAAAGAAAAAAACAUAACAAACACCCCCCCCCAAUUUACUCAGGUAUGAAGGGGUAGAAUUUUGGAAAACUGCAUCAUGAUCAAGUGCUAUUGUGAGACCAUGGGUGGGUCCCUUAACCUCCUCUGAUGCCAUCCUUUUAUCUGUAAAAUGGAAUAAUAACAGUACCUACCUUAAAAGGAUGCAGUGAGGGUUAUUCAUGCUUGUAAAGUGCUUGGAAAGACUCCUGGCCCAGUAAUAUGAGCUCAAUAAAUGUCCGCCUUACACUAAACAAACAGAACCAAACACGAUAUGGUGCGGUGCUAUCUGCUUCUAAAGCCUGCGUUCUCUCUCUGACUCCCCACUGCCUAAGAAGGAAUUAGGGAAUUGAAUUCGUUCUAAGGAACCUGAGCAAGAGUCAGGAUUGCCAGGCAUUCAAAACCGUGGCCUAGUUAGAAAGCGCACUCACUCACAUACACACGCAGAGCUACUUUUAAUAGCUGGUAACAGCCAGAGAAAAUCCAAUUACAGAUGAAUCAAUCGAUUAAAGAGAAAGGGCGCAGAAGAAAGAAAAAAAAAAUGUUGGAGAGACACAGAGCCAAAUUAAAGCUGGAUAAUAGAAUUAAGGGUCUGUAGAACAAACCAGUAGAAAUAACAAAGGGGUACGGGCUGGGGACCCGUUUACAGCUCCGUAUUGAUUUGAUGCUUUCUCUGACUCUUGACUCCAAAGAGCAGUUCCUGGGCCGCGCCCCAAGCAACUGAUCACAUCGGAACGGGCCGGAGUUGUGUUUGGCAAAUCAUAAUUUUUCAGAGAAAUGAAGCACGUGUGGCCUCUGGAACAAGAGGACUAUGUUUGAGUUAAAGAGAUGCUCACAUUUAAGGAGGAAAGCAGAGCCCCAGAAAUCACUAUCGAGGGAGGGGAAGAGGUGAAAGCUAUGUCUUUAGUUGGCAAAGAUACACCCCUAGUUUGAAAUAUUCUGCUGCUUAGGAAAUCCUGUCCUUGCUCUCAAAGAAACAUCUCAUUAAGGAACAGAAUUCCUCUCUGGCAUACAAACACUCCAAACAAACAAACAAACAAACAAACAAAAAAACCAAACCCACAUGCCUUUUAAACUUUUGAGGGGAAGGGGUGACGGGAGGGAGACGGGGCUCUUCAUCGGGCAACAAUCUCUACAGCUGUGUCUUAUUCUUGGUGGGUUCUGGAAUAACAUCCGUUUCUACGUGUUUAUGGAAAGGUGUCCUUAACUAGGCCACAUAAAGAGCCAGAGCAUCUAUAAAUAAAUUAAGGAGGCUGCGAGGCCUGGUGCUGGCCCCUCUGGCUGCAGCCCUGCCACACAGCUGUCGUCUUUGUGCCUGGCCGGCCGGGUCCCAUUGUAGAUGUGAUUACUCCGUGGGUGGGGUGGGGCGUGUGGGGACACUGGUGCAGAAGGUGGGCUUUGCCGCCGCUGGGGACUGGCCUCACUGGGCCGGAAGCCCCUGGUGGUCGUCUCAGCCUGUGCAGGUGACCACGUGGCAGUCACUCUGUGGGAGCCAACUGCGUGCGGCCGGGGCUCAGGCUGGGCCACGUUUACAGAUGGUGGUGUUGGGAUGGUGGAGCUGGGGGUGGCAGGGACAGGGCCGAAGACAAGAGCAGCAAAAUAACCCUGAAUAUACGUAAGUUUAAACAGAGCCGGGAGGGAGUUCCAGUUGUGGCUGAGUGGUAAUGAACCCUCCUAGUAUCCUUAGGAUGCAUCUCACUCAGUGGGUUAAGAAUCCAGCAUUGCUGUGGUGGUGUAGGCUGCUUGCUGCAGCUCGCAUUAGACCCCAGCCUGGAAAACUCCAUAUGCCGCAGGUGCAGUCACAAAAAGCAAAAAAAAAAAAAAAAAAAUUUAAAUUAAAAAAUCUAACAGAGCCAGGAGAGGGGGCCACAGGGAUGAGGGAAGCUUUUCCAGACUUUGAGACUCCAAUCUUUUUCCCCCACCCUGGGAUCAGUGCCCCUGCUAAGCACCUCCUUCUGGAAAAGGCAUCAGGAGCCAAGGAUCCAGAGUUUUGCUGGCAGGUUUUUUUCCUGGGCACUCACUUAGCGAUUGAAUUAAAAAUAAAUAUAUAAAUAAAAAGGCAAUAGGCAGCUCUUUCCUUUAGAGAAAUGGGGGGAAAGGAGCUUUUAUUUUCUUUGCUUGGUAAUCAUUUCUGGAUUUCCUGGGUAUCUUGUCUUUGAAAGGGCCUCACUACUUGAAGCAGCCAUCCCUGGACCUGCAACAUCAGCAUUUUUCAUUCAAAAGCAAGGUCUCAGGCCCUCCAGACUCCCUGAAUCAGAAUCUGCAGUUCUAUGAGUCCCCCGCACCGAGAGAGGGAAUGUUUGUGCGCUUUUCACUUGAAAAGCUCUAGUCUGAAACAUUCAUCCUUAACUCCGGCUGAACAUUAGAAUCACCUGCACUGAUGGGUUGACUUGUGUCCUCCUUUGAUGUUGAAGAGCAGCCCCCCAUCCCAAGACCUUGUUUGGAAAUAAGGUCUUUGCAGAGAAUCAGCGUCUUAGGGUGGCCUCUAAUCCAUCACACCUUAUAAAAAGGGAGAUCUGGGUGCAGGGACAGACAUGCACUCAGGGAGACUGACAUGCAAAGAUGAAAACAGAGACUGGAGUGAUGCAUCUAUAAGCAAAAUGAUGCCAAAGAUUGCUAGUAAACCUCAGGAAGCUGGGGGACAGGCAGGAACAGAUUCUUCUUCACGCCCUCAGAGGAAACCAAACCUGCCAGUGGUACUUGGACUUCUGGUCUCUGAGAGACAAUACAUUUCUCUUGUUUCAGCCACCCAGUUUGUGGUCCUUGUUAUGCUGGUCCUUGUUUUGGCAGUCCUAGCAAACUAGUACACCUGGAUAAUUCUGUGAAAAAUCCAGGUUUUUGAGCUCUGAUGUGUUUGUAAUCAGACACUUGGGGACCAGCAUUGGCUAAAUGUUCUUUGGGAGAUUCUAGGAGUUGGUAGUUUGGGAGCCAGAGGUCCUCUGUGCCUAGUGCUCACUCACACAGUAUCCUCCCUAAGAGCAGAUGCUUGGAUGUACCAAUCUGCUUUUAGACUUCCAGUGAUGGGGAGCGCAUUACCUGAUGGGGAGCCUUAUCCAUCAGGGAGCAGGCUGAUUGUUCAAAGGAAUCUUUAAAUAGAGCUAAAAUCCUCUAAAAUUUCCUCUAUGAUAAAGAUGAAGAAACUGAGACUCUGACAAGUUCAGUGAGUCGUCCAAGUCCAUAUAGUCAGUAUGGGGCCAACUAGGGAUUUGAAUCCAGAUGAUUGCCCGAGCCUAUCCUCCUGAUACUUAAACUACCCAGACGACCUCUAGUUUACAAAGGGCCAUCACAGCUGUGCUCCAGUCAAGACUCCCUCCAACCCUGGGAGGCAGAGAGUCAAGAUCCCUCCCUUACCCUCACAUCUGGAUGGUGGGGUGAGAGGGUGGAGAAUGAGGCUGCAAGAGGGAAUUGUGUGGUCCCCUGGGCACCUAGGCUAUGUAUUUGCCACAAGUGCCUCCAGAACGUGGAUGAAUUGGAUGGAGGCCAGGGUAUGGAUUUGGUUCUGUGUCAGGGCCUGCUCCUGAGCCUCAUCCCCGAUGGUAUCUCUCAUGCUCUCCUGGCCCUCGGUGUUCACACCUGUGAAAUGGGGAUAAUAAACUCUGCCUUUUCAAAGAUAAAGACAAAUAUCACAUGAUAUGACUUACAUGUGGAUCUGAAAUAUGGCACAAACAAACCUGUCUUCAAAACAUAAACGGACUCACAGAUAUAGAGAAGAGACUUGUGGUUGCCAAGGGGGAGGGGGGAGAAGUGGGAUGAGUGGGAGUUUAGGGUUAAUAGAUGCAAACUAUUACAUUUAGAAUGGAUAAGCAAUGAGAUCCUACUAUACAGCACAGGGAAAUAUACCCAGUAUCUUGGGAUAGAACAUGAUGGAAGUUAAUAUAAGAAAAGAAAUUGUGUGUGUGCAUGUAUGUGUGUGUGUGUGUGUGUGUGUGUUUGUGUAUAAAACUGGGUCACUUUGCUGUACAGCAGAAAUUGGCACAGCAUUGUAAAUCAACUACAUCCUAAUAAAAAAAUGAACUCUGCCUUUUAUACCUUGUAGCAGCAUUGAGGAACUUCAGUGAGAUCAGGAAUAUGCCUUAUGAAGAGCAAAUGUGAUGAUCAUUAUAACUUUGCCUGAGAAGGGAGCUUAGGUGAUUCUGUGAUAAAACUUCUCAUUUAUAGAUAGGUCAUUCAUACCAUAUUUUAGAGUUCACAUAUGUGAUAUCACAUGGUGUCUGUCUUUCUUUUUCUGACUUACUUCACUCAGUAUGAGAGUCUCUAGUUCCAUCCAUGUUGCUGCAAAUGGCAUUGUUUAGUCCUUUUUAUGGCUAAGUAGUAUUCCAUUGUAUAUAUGUAUCACAUCUUCUUAAUCCAUUCAUGUGUCAAUGGGCAUUUAGGUCUUUUCCAUGUCUUGGCUGUUGUGAAUAUUGCUGCAAUGAACAUACAGGUGCAUGUAUCUUACAAAUGACCUAUCUACAAAACAAAGAACAGAUUAUGGAGUUGAAGGACAGAUUUGUGUUUGCCGGGGGAAGGGAGUGGGAUGGAUUGGGAGUUGGGUUAGUAGAUGCAAAAUAUUGCAUUUGGAGUGGAUAAGCAAUGAUAUCCUGCCAUGUGGCACAGAGAACUAUAUCCAGUCACUUGUGAUGGAACAGGAUGGAGGAUAAUGAGAGAAAAAAAAUGUAUGUAUAUAUAUGUAUUUAUGUAUAACUGGGUCACUUUUUUGUAUAUCAGAAAUAGGCAGAACAUCGUAAAUUAACUGGAAUAAAAAUAAAGAAAUUGAAAACUAAAAAAAAAAAAGAAAAA
Molecule: long non-coding RNA, 6031 nt
Filed under: Sus scrofa (pig)
Lineage: Eukaryota; Metazoa; Chordata; Mammalia; Artiodactyla; Suidae
Description: lncRNA (ENSSSCG00045031329.1)
Source: RNAcentral